GGAGAGGUGGCUGAGCUGGUUUAAGGCACCGGUUUCGAAAACCGACGUACUCGAAAGGGUACCGCGGGUUCAAAUCCCGCCCUCUCCGCAA
This 91-nucleotide transfer RNA is filed under the name Candidatus Magasanikiibacteriota bacterium. RNAcentral describes it as "Candidatus Magasanikbacteria bacterium tRNA-Ser". It matches the Rfam family "tRNA". Rfam says of the family: Transfer RNA (tRNA) molecules are approximately 80 nucleotides in length. Their secondary structure includes four short double-helical elements and three loops (D, anti-codon, and T loops). Further hydrogen bonds mediate the characteristic L-shaped molecular structure. tRNAs have two regions of fundamental functional importance: the anti-codon, which is responsible for specific mRNA codon recognition, and the 3' end, to which the tRNAs corresponding amino acid is attached (by aminoacyl-tRNA synthetases). tRNAs cope with the degeneracy of the genetic code in two manners: having more than one tRNA (with a specific anti-codon) for a particular amino acid; and 'wobble' base-pairing, i.e. permitting non-standard base-pairing at the 3rd anti-codon position. Lineage: Bacteria; Candidatus Magasanikiibacteriota. The record is from RNAcentral.